This 403-nucleotide ribosomal RNA is filed under the name uncultured Solirubrobacter sp. Its description in RNAcentral is "bacterial SSU rRNA". It matches the Rfam family "Bacterial small subunit ribosomal RNA", at positions 40 to 434 of the family's 1533-position model. Lineage: Bacteria; Bacillati; Actinomycetota; Thermoleophilia; Solirubrobacterales; Solirubrobacteraceae. The record is from RNAcentral.
CGGGGUGCCUUUACCCUUGCAGGUGGAACGACGAACCGGGCUUCGCGCCUUUGGCAGAGCCGCGAACGGGUGAGUAAAAGGGGGGGAGAGUACCCCGAUGACCGGGACAACCCGAGGAAUUUGAGGGGGGGAAGGAUGUUCUCGCUUCUCGUAAGGGAAUCGAGCAAAGAUAGCUUCGGCCUUCGCAUCGGGACGGCCCUUUUUCCAAAUAGAAAAGUUGGUGGGGUAAGAGCCUACCAAGGCAACGAUCGGUAGCUGGUCUGAGAGGAUGAGCAGCCACACUGGGCCUGAGACACGGCCCAGACUCCUACGGGAGGCAGCAGUGGGGAAUUUUCCGCAAUGGGCGAAAGCCUGACGCAGCGACGCCGCGUAUGGGAUGACGGCCUUCGGGUUGUAAACCCCU